Molecule: non-coding RNA, 3526 nt
Organism: Pseudonaja textilis
Lineage: Eukaryota; Metazoa; Chordata; Lepidosauria; Squamata; Elapidae
Source: RefSeq, a predicted model, not a curated record
UCCAGCCUCGAGGUCGCUUCACGUGCUCCGGCCGCGGGGGGCUUUCAGAGGGGGGAGUCUUAUUUUCCACGCUCGUCCGCGCCCCGCGUCGUCCCAAGAAGUCAGCGCCAGGCGAGGGAGACACCCACUCCGCCAACUAAAGAGCAAAGGCGCGCAAAAGGCAAAGCUUGGGACUCUUCCCCCACCUUCUUCCAGAGGGAACCAGCAGCGGCGACCGCCAGCCGCUCUCCGCCUCAAGCUCGGGCUCCCGUGCCGCCAUUCCGCCAGAACCCCCUGCAUGCUGCUGAGGGCAGCUGGUGGUGGUAGCCUGGGCUCGAGCCCCGCUGCUUUCCCCCUCCCUCGCCUCGCCUCGCUCGCCGCGCCUCCCCGUUUGUGACCCCCUCAGCCUAAACGCGCCGCGGAGAGGCGAGGCGAGGCGAAGAGGGCAUUUCGGGCCGGCGGAGGAGACAAUGAACAGCGGCAAAAGCGAGCAAGAGCUCAGCCCGGCCGAGCCGAACUUGCAAGAGGAAGAGGUACGGACACUCUUUGUCAGUGGUCUUCCUCUGGAUAUCAAGCCCCGAGAGCUCUAUCUCUUGUUCAGACCAUUCAAGGGAUAUGAAGGUUCUCUUAUUAAACUCACCUCAAAGCAGCCUGUGGGUUUCGUAACCUUUGAUAGUCGCUCAGAAGCAGAAGCUGCUAAGAAUGCCUUGAAUGGAAUUCGUUUUGACCCAGAAAUCCCUCAGACGCUCCGACUAGAGUUUGCAAAGGCCAAUACGAAGAUGGCUAAGAGCAAAUUAGUGGGCACUCCUAAUCCCAGCACUCCUGCCACCCCCAAUGCAGUACCUCAGUUCAUUACCAGAGAGCCAUAUCCGCUGGCUCCCUCCCUCAGAGGCUACUUCUCAGGGCUGGAAGUCCCGUCAGUUCUGCUGAAUCCUGUGUAUCAGGUGUGUGAUGGCGGCUACACUCUGUCUUGUGGGUAUUAAUACAUUCUUCCAAAGUCGCUAUUGAUGUCUUACCUUCAUCUUCCAAAUUGCAGUGUGGUCGGCUUUUUAAAAAAACCUCACACAAGCGUGGAUUCCUUCAAGACUUUGCCACAGCCUCUAUCACACAUCUUCUUAAAAAUAAAAUAGAAAGUAUUGAAUAAUAAUGGUUAUGAUAAAAAUGCCAAAUCCAGCCUAAAUAUCUGGUUGACUAUGUGAUGAACCAUAAUAAUAAUAUGUUCCUCUUCUACGAUGUAUAAAAGUUCAAGCGUUUAAAUUCUAUAAGCAUGAAUGAAUUUCUGGUUUGAAAAAAAUUAUUUUCAAGCAGAGCAGCAAAGAGAAGAACUAUUUUUUAUACCAAGCAUUUUAAGUAAGAGGACUGUACCUUGGGUGGAAGAACUGAUUACUGUAUACGUUUGAUUUUUAAAUAUGUAUAAUCUCCUUUCCCUACCACCCUUUUAAGAUGCAUGUUCAAGGCAUGUUUUUAAAUCUGGUUCAGAUUUUUUUAAAAGUGUAUUGUUUGAAAUGCACAUUUUGGUCAUCAGGUUUUGGAGCCUGAGAUGAUGUUUGAAGUGUAUUCCUGUUGUAGUUAUUUUCAUGUUUCGCCUAAUUGUGCCAAAUUAUAUUGAGCAAGACAAUCAGCAAUAUAAUAGCUUUUUCAUGAUUGUAACAGUUGGUGCGCUGUAUGUUAGCAGUGCCUGAUGCUAGUUCCUGCUGUAUUUUUUUUUCUCUAUAUUUGGAUAUGCAAUUGUGUGGGAAUAAGAAGUAGUACACUGUAGAAAGUAGAAAGGCAAUUUCUAUUAUGAAUGGAAAUGUGCAGUCAUAAUUAUGGACAUUUCUACAACUGUGUCUAUUCAUAGUAUACUUUUCUUCAGACAAAUAUAUCUCAUGCAGUUGUGUUAUUAUUUAGAAAAGGAAAAAGGAAAAAAACCCUGGUAUUUGUGAGAAUCCAUCCUGGAUGACCAAGCUGCCCAGGAAGUUAUGUACUCCAAAUCAUGUUUCUUACAUCCAUAUCAUCUACUUUUGUAAGAACUUAUACACUGUGUGUAUCUUUGGAAGGUAGUUUAGUUUUGUGGUUUUGUUCCAGAUAUAAAGCAGAUUGGUUCUGGUCAUUUAUUGUUAAUCAUAUUCUUGGGGAAGGUAAGAGGUGACUGGACCAUUGACCCAGAAAACUGAACUUCAGCUGUUGAUCCCAGCAUUUCAUGCUGAUGAAAAAUGCCAAAGGUUUUUGCUGAAUCUGAUUCUAAUGAAAUGGCCAUUGUUGGGACAUUUGGCUUGCCAGCUAUUCUUGAUUUUUCCCAGAUAAUCUCAGUAGUAGUAGUCCGUCCCAAAUCUAUGCACUGAUGCCAGACAGUGGAUUUUGAAGUGGCAGCAGUAGCAGCCCCAUUGCCCUCAUGGUCAAAACUCCCUGCCAGGAAGAAAUCUUCAAGUGCCCACUUUUAAAUAGCUAUUCAACUUCACCUACUGUAUGUCUGUGCUUUUGGGGGGAAAAAAGAGAAUAGAUAAAGCUGCCUCUCAAGGAACAGAGCCAUACUGGGAAUGAUUUCAGGCACAGCGUGCCAAGGAAAAGCUACUUCAAACUUUCCACUUUCUUGAAGGGUUUUAUCUUUAGGGGCCAGAUAACGGCUGUAUCCAUAUGACAUUAGUCAGUCUGGAUGGACUUUAGUACUACAAUGGGACUCUGGAACAUUGCUUUUUUUUGGGGGGGGGGGAUAUCAACUUUAGCUCAGGUGUGACUCACAAAUUCACCUGUAACCAAAGGCUGUACCUCUUAGAAGCUAAUGACCUGAAUUACAGAGGGUUUUUUAAAAUCUGCUUCCUGUUUCCACUUUACAUGGAUAUAUAUGGUCUAUUGAAUUGAAUACAGCUUGCUUCUAAGUGCAUAAGAUUGGACCUGCAGUUCUUUGGACAGCUAGGAAUGCAGCUACCUAGGGCAGAAGAGUUCCUAUAUCAAUCAUUCGCGUAAAAUUAUUCUUCCCUCAAUUGCUGAAGGCUGCCAGUGCCAGAAAUCCCUCCCUGUUCUCCCUUCAGCUGCUAGCCCACAGAUUUUACAAUAGUGACAAGUCUGGCUCUGCUGGCUUGCUUAGUAGGGAAGCCAAUAGGGUUAAUAGGGUCAAACUUUUAUGAAGCAGCUUCUCUGCCAGGAUUAUUAUCACUUAUCCUGAAAUAAGAUACAUUGGUUUGUAAGAAAUAUAAAUUAUAUGUCAAAAUGUAAAAGACUUUUAAGAAUGCAAAAUUGCAAGAGGGUUGCUUGGCUUGUUCUCCUCUGGAGCUACAAGUCCUGAGAGUUGUACUCUGAACACAUCAUAAGUGUCCCAAGCUGGAACUGUAAAAUGCCCAUUACUAAGCAAACAAUAUGGAUAAAUUGAGAAAAUUUAAAAUAUAACUGUAGGUGGUUAAACAACCCUAAAAAUAUUUGUGCUGGAUUGUUUCACAAAACACUUGAUUUUUCUCUACAGCCUUUUUACUGGCAGUAACUGAAUUAUACAAUGCUUCCAAUUUGUCUAUGAUUUUUUUUUAAAGAAAAAAGUUGUUAAAAGAUACUUUUCUAUUAUAAUUUUCUAAAA